This 547-nucleotide ribosomal RNA is filed under the name uncultured haloarchaeon. Its description in RNAcentral is "bacterial SSU rRNA". It matches the Rfam family "Archaeal small subunit ribosomal RNA", at positions 340 to 886 of the family's 1478-position model. Lineage: Archaea; Methanobacteriati; Methanobacteriota; Halobacteria; Halobacteriales; Halobacteriaceae. The record is from RNAcentral.
CGCGAAACCUUUACACUGCACGACAGUGCGAUAGGGGAACUCCGAGUGCGAGGGCAUAGAGCCCUCGCUUUUCUGUACCGUAAGGUGGUACAGGAAGAAGGGCUGGGCAAGACCGGUGCCAGCCGCCGCGGUAAUACCGGCAGCCCGAGUGAUGGCCACUAUUAUUGGGCCUAAAGCGUCCGUAGCCGGCCGGACAAGUCCGUCGGGAAAUCCGCACGCUCAACGUGCGGGCGUCCGGCGGAAACUGUCCGGCUUGGGGCCGGAAGAUCCGAGGGGUACGUCCGGGGUAGGAGUGAAAUCCCGUAAUCCUGGACGGACCGCCGGUGGCGAAAGCGCCUCGGAAGGACGGACCCGACGGUGAGGGACGAAAGCUAGGGUCUCGAACCGGAUUAGAUACCCGGGUAGUCCUAGCCGUAAACGAUGCUCGCUAGGUGUGGCACAGGCUACGAGCCUGUGCUGUGCCGUAGGGAAGCCGUGAAGCGAGCCGCCUGGGAAGUACGUCCGCAAGGAUGAAACUUAAAGGAAUUGGCGGGGGAGCACUACAACC